Molecule: unclassified non-coding RNA, 215 nt
Filed under: Hevea brasiliensis (rubber tree)
Lineage: Eukaryota; Viridiplantae; Streptophyta; Magnoliopsida; Malpighiales; Euphorbiaceae
Source: RNAcentral
CACUUUGUCAAUCAAUGCAUCGAUUGUUACUGGGAGCUUUGAGCUCGUGGCUCAUGAUGCGAGCUUUCUUAAUGGAACUUCAGUAAACACGACGGGAUUGGCUGGGGAACCGCCACCGCAGGCGAGCGGACACCCUCCGGGGACAGGUGCGGGAGGAGGGCAUGGUGGGAGGGGAGCUUGUUGCUUAGUGGAUGAUAAGAAGCUACCGGAGGAUG